Molecule: non-coding RNA, 120 nt
Filed under: Wolbachia endosymbiont of Drosophila simulans wAu
Lineage: Bacteria; Pseudomonadati; Pseudomonadota; Alphaproteobacteria; Rickettsiales; Anaplasmataceae
Source: RNAcentral
CAGUUGGUGAAAAUCCAACUUAGGCAAAGUCUAGCCAACAGCCUAGAACAGACCAUUAUGCUGCGUGAGGUAACGAGCGUAGUAAAGCUAAUGGAAUGGACAAUAUAGGGUGCAAUGAAA